RNAcentral lists this ribosomal RNA (468 nucleotides) under uncultured bacterium. RNAcentral's name for it is "partial 16S ribosomal RNA". It matches the Rfam family "Bacterial small subunit ribosomal RNA", at positions 28 to 507 of the family's 1533-position model. The record is from RNAcentral.
GACGAACGCUGGCGGCGUGCUUAACACAUGCAAGUCGAACGGAAAGGCCCUGCUUUUGUGGUGUGCUCGAGUGGCGAACGUGUGAGUAACACGUGAGUAACCUGCCCUCGACUUUGGGAUAACUUCAGGAAACUGGGGCUAAUACCGGAUAGGAGCUCCUGCUGCAUGGUGGGGGAUGGAAAGUUUCGGCGGUGGGGGAUGGACUCGCGGCUUAUCAGCUUGGUGGUGGGGUAGUGGCUUACCAAGGCUUUGACGGGUAGCCGGCCUGAGAGGGUGACCGGCCACAUUGGGUCUGAGAUACGGCCCAGACUCCUACGGGAGGCAGCAGUGGGGAAUAUUGCACAAUGGGAGGAAGCCUGAUGCAGCAACGCCGCGUGCGGGAUGACGGCCUUCGGGUUGUAAACCGCUUUCGCCUGUGACGAAGCGUGAGUGACGGUAAUGGGUAAAGAAGCACCGGCUAACUACGUG